RNAcentral lists this transfer RNA (57 nucleotides) under Bos taurus (domestic cattle). It matches the Rfam family "tRNA", at positions 8 to 63 of the family's 71-position model. From Rfam's summary of the family: Transfer RNA (tRNA) molecules are approximately 80 nucleotides in length. RNAcentral also lists the same sequence under 4 other names. The record is from Rfam by way of RNAcentral. Lineage: Eukaryota; Metazoa; Chordata; Mammalia; Artiodactyla; Bovidae.
UGGCUCAGACGGUAAAGUGUCUGUCUGCAAUGCAGGAGACCCGGGUUCAAUCCCUGG